CAGCCGCCGCGGUAAUACGUAGGGUGCAAGCGUUAAUCGGAAUUACUGGGCGUAAAGCGUGCGCAGGCGGUUAUAUAAGACAGAUGUGAAAUCCCCGGGCUCAACCUGGGAACUGCAUUUGUGACUGUAUAGCUAAAGUACGGCAGAGGGGGAUGGAAUUCCGCGUGUAGCAGUGAAAUGCGUAGAUAUGCGGAGGAACACCGAUGGCGAAGGCAAUCCCCUGGGCCUGUACUGACGCUCAUGCACGAAAGCGUGGGGAGCAAACAGGAUUAGAUACCCGAGUAGUCCCUGUCUCUUAUAC
This 301-nucleotide ribosomal RNA is filed under the name uncultured bacterium. Its description in RNAcentral is "partial 16S ribosomal RNA". It matches the Rfam family "Bacterial small subunit ribosomal RNA", at positions 509 to 807 of the family's 1533-position model. The record is from RNAcentral.